This 869-nucleotide ribosomal RNA is filed under the name uncultured archaeon. RNAcentral describes it as "bacterial SSU rRNA". It matches the Rfam family "Archaeal small subunit ribosomal RNA", at positions 1 to 875 of the family's 1478-position model. The record is from RNAcentral.
UCCGGUUGAUCCUGCCGGAGGUUACUGCUAUCGGUGUUUGACUAAGCCAUGCGAGUCAAAUGUUCUUCGUGAACAUGGCGCAAUGCUCAGUAACACGUGGAUAACCUGCCCUCAGGUCCGGCAUAAUCUCGGGAAACUGAGGAUAAUUCCGGAUAUCCCUUUUCUGUUGGAAGACUUAAAGGGACAAAGAAUUUCGCCUGAGGAUGGGUCUGCGGCCUAUCAGGUUGUAGGGGGUGUAAGGUACCUCCUAGCCGACGACGGGUACGGGUUGUGAGAGCAAGAGCCCGGAGAUGGAUUCUGAGACAUGAAUCCAGGCCCUACGGGGCGCAGCAGGCGCGAAAACUUUACAAUGCAGGAAACUGUGAUAAGGAGACACCGAGUGCUCGCAUCAAAUGCGGGCUGUCCGCUUACUUAAAUCGUAAGCGUUAGCAAGGGCCGGGCAAGACCGGUGCCAGCCGCCGCGGUAAUACCGGUGGCCCGAGUGGUAGCCGCUUUUAUUGGGUCUAAAGGGUCCGUAGCCGGUUCGGUCAGUCCAUUGGGAAAUCCGGAUGCUCAACAUCCGGGCUUCCAGUGGAUACUGCCGAACUUGGGAUCGGGGGAGGUAAGAGGUACUAUAGGGGUAGGAGUGAAAUCUUGUAAUCCCUGCGGGACCACCUGUGGCGAAGGCGUCUUACCAAAACGAGUCCGACGGUGAGGGACGAAAGCUGGGGGCACGAACCCGGAUUAGAUACCCGGGUAGUCCCAGCCGUAAACGAUGCUCGCUAGGUGUCAGGCAUGGCGUGACUGUGUUUUGGUGCCGAAGGGAAGCCGUGAAGCGAGCCACCUGGGAAGUACGGCCGCAAGGCUGAAACUUAAGGAUUGGCGGGGGG